CAACAUGAUGUUUUGAUAUAUGUAUACAUUAUGAAAUGACUAUCAACAUAGGCAUCACUUCAGAAAAUUACCCCCCUUUUACUGUGUGCUUAUAAUACUUAAAAUCUUCUCUCUUAACAAAUUUCAAGUGAAAUAAGCCAGACACGGAAAGACAAAUACCUCCUUAUCUCACUUAUAUGUGGAAUCUAAAAAAAAGUCACAGAAAUAAAGUAGAAUUGUGGUUACCCAGGGUCAGGGUGGAAGAAAUGGAGAGAUAUUAGUCAAAAGGUACAAAUAUUUGAUUAUAAGAUAAAUAAGUUUUGGAGACCUAAAGGACAGCAUGGUGACUAUAGUUAAUAAUAAUGUAUUAUAUGCAUGAAAACUGCAAUUUACUUUCAAGCAUUAAUUAAAACAGCAAUUCACUUUGCAAUUCUAAACACCUGGAAUUCUGUCCAUGCAGCCCUUGUUGCAGCUUUAGUGUCAGUUAUAAACAUAGGUGUGAACAGUCUGUAGUGGGGGCCUUGCUAAUGUCUAUUAGUUAAGUUCUUUUUUUUUUAUUUUUCAGAGAUGGGGUUCUUGCUCUCUUGCUCAGGCUGGAGUGCAAUGGUAUGAUCAUACCUCACUGCAGCCUCGACAUCCUAGGCUCAAGUGACCCUCCUGCUUCAGCUUUACAGAGUAGCUGGGACUACAGGUGUGCGACACCAUGCCUGGCUAAUUUAUUUUUAUUUUUUAGAGACAGGGUCUCCCUAUGUUGCCCAGGAUGGUCUCAAACUCCUGGUCUCAAGUAAUCCUCCCACCUCAGCCCCCCAGAGUGCUGGGAUUACAGACACAAUCCAUCUAUUAGUUAAGUUCUAAUGAAAUGAACAAGAUGAUACAAGUUAAGAGCCACUCUGCUUAUACUAUAAGUUAUACCAAACAGUACACUGGAAUACUAGAGAAUUACUGUACAGAGCCUGUCCAAAUAAAUGAUAUCUGAUAGGAUUGUCCAGCUAGUAAUGAAUUUUAUUUCAAGCCCAGGUGGGGUCAGUGAUGAAUUCUUAGAUUGACUCUUUCAAUAUGAACUGUUUGUGAGAAUUAUAAAUAUAUACCUGUAUAUAAAAUAUGAAUACAGUUAUAUUUUAUAUAAUUUUAAAAGGCAAAAUGCUUCUCAAAGAGACAGUUAAAAUUUUAAAGUAUGAUUUUUUUAUUAGCGUUUUUCCAACAGAUGUGUGGCUAACAGUUGACUAAAUCUACUUACUCUUCAUUCUGGGCACACAGCCAGACUACAUUUCCCAGUAUCCUUCGCAGUUACUGAAUACUUACCAAUGGACUGUGAGUGAAAGUGAGGUGUGCUAUUCUCAGUUAAAAUUUUAAAGUAUGAUUUUUUAUUAGCAUUUUUCCAGCAGGUGUGUGGCUAACAGUUGACUAAAUCUACUUACUCUUCGUUCUGGGCACACAGCCAGACUACAUUUCCCAGUAUCCUUUGCAGUUACUGAAUACUUGCCAAUGGACUGUGAGUGAAAGUGAGGUGUGUUAUUCUCAGUUAAAAUUUUAAAGUAUGAUUUUUUAUUAGCAUUUUUCCCACAGGUGUGUGGCUAACAGUUAACUAAAUCUACUUACUCUUCUUUCUGGGCACACAGCUAGACUGCAUUUGCCAGUAUCCUUUGCAGUUACUGAAUAUUUGCCAAUGGGCUGUGAGUGAAAGUGAGAUGUGCUAUUCUCAGGCUUGAAUGUAACAUAUUGCCCAUGGGUGCUAGACCCACCAUGCUCUUUCUUCUUCAGGAUUGAGACAGACAAACUUGGUAACCUGGGAAAUAAGGACUUGAAGAUCACAGAGACACAUGAAUCAACGGGCCCAAGUCCCUGAAUCACUUAUUGGAGAAGAGCUACUGGCAGAAUAAAACUAUCUAUUUGACAUUUAAAUAUAUGAGAAUAAACUUACCCUGUCUGAGUCACUAUAUACUUUGGAGUUUACUAGAGUAGUCAAAUAUGCUGUUUCUGAUUUCCAGACAACCUUUAAAUAUGAAAAGCUGCAGUCACCUGUUCUUCCUAAUUCCCUUUACUAUGGGUGUGCACAGUGCUUCUGUGAUUUGUCUGGUCUCUCUAACCACCUAGAUGUUCAGUAAUAGUUGUAAAGUGCCUUUUCUUACUGUCCUUUCAGAACAUGGACUGAGAGAGAUUUUAGGUUUCGGAAAAGCUCAGAACUUUUAGCACAUGUGUAUUAUAAAUUAAAUGACUGAUACCACAUUGGGGUGGCUUGAGUACCGGUGGAAGUUCUAUUUAAUGAUAGGUGUUACAAAAGAAUAUACAAAGGAAGGGCAAAUGAGAAUGCAAAAUGUACUCUCCUUCAUCUCACUGUAUCCCAGAACAAAAGGAAAAGUUCUGGGUCAUGAUCAAUAUUUGAACAUUAUUUCAAAAUAUAAACCCUUCUCUGACCAUCUUGCAGUAGUUACAUCGUUCCCGUAAUCUCUGCCCCAAAUGCUUCUCUUUGAUCUCUUUCUUCUCUCCUAACACUGACUUUUUCUUCAUGAGGUUGAGAGCUACUGAGACAAAUUGAAUAAAGGCAACAGUUUUCCAGUGUCGGAGAAACUCUAGCACACUGGAGUACAAGGAUUUCCUAGGACUGUGAGCAGGGGUACACUGUGCUGCCCACAAUGUUCAUGUUGGCGACCAUUAUGCUAUAUUCUUAAGGGGCUCUAGGAGUAUAAAGUUGACUCUCUUUGUCAACUUUGAAGUAGUAGUAAUAAAAGACUACAUUUUUUGGGGACCUUCAGAUGUGCUAGGCAUCAUCUCCAACAAUCCUAUAAAUUUGGUAUUAUUGUAAACAUAUAAUCAGAAUACAAUUACCCAUCAAUCAAAUAAAUGGUACAAAAGGUUGAGUAAUAUGACCGAUAUAUAAGUCUAACAGAACUUCGAAAACUUAUAUUAAAGGUUGUAUUAUUUCAGAUAAUCCUACAAAUGGGAAAGAAUAUACUGAAAAUAUACUCAUUGACAUAUUUGAUUACAUUUCCAAUUUAAUUAAACAAGAAUGCAAAAAAAGUAUUGGGUAUGGGUUGACCCCUUGGAGAAGAAGCAGAUGCAUGUAUCACAGCACCGCCUUCUUGGCCUGCACAAUAUCUAAUAGGUGCGGAUAGUGCUUGUGAUGCUGUUUGAGCAGGGAAGGGGUCUUUUGGGUAUGAGAAAUCCAUUUUUGCCAUGCCCAGGCCUUUUGUCAUCAGGGUAUAUAUCAGUAGUCAGAGAGAACUUAGGAAAAAAGCAAACAAGCUACACUUUUAAUCAAGUAUAUUUACACAUAUCCAAGAUGUUGCUUUCUACAUGAAGCAACAAGGUCAUAUCCUCAUAGAAAAUCUAUUUGCCUGCAGCCAGUCUCCUGCUUUGAUUUAAUUCUCUUAUUAGGGAUGUUUCUGAUACUGAAUACGGGGACCAUGUUCACACAGUAAUUUCACUGUAGUUCACACCUGAAUCUUGAUGGGGAGGCUGUGUGGUCAUUUCUGUAGCACCAUUGGUCAUAUAUUUGUGUUGUUGACAAUUUUGUACCCAUAAAAUAACUCACAUAUGAUUUUUAUCUAGGAUACUGUCUUAGUUCAAGCUGCUAGAACAAAAACAUCAUGGACAUGAUGACUUAAGCAACAGAAAUUUAUUUCUAACAGAUCUGGAGGCUGGUAAGGUGAAAGAGGACACUGGAGGGGAUGCUGAAAAGAUCGGGAUCCAGGAGAAAGAAGGAGAAGUGGGAGCAGCAGAGGCCUGACAGACCCACAGAAUUGGACAGAGUGGCAGCUGUUCUCUGGGCAGGGCUGAGUGAAAAUGCCUGGAAAAGGAAGGGGGUGGAAGAAAUCCAAGGCCAUUUGUGCUGCUGGGAGUCGUCACCAGCGGGAGACCCAGCAGGCUGACUUCCCACUGCACUCUACAGGGAAACACAGAGAACAGGGGAAAGAGAGAAGGAAGAGAAGGCCCUGAAGUUAAACAGUGUGCAUUGCAAAGGGAUUUUCAUCAGGCAAAGGACUUUAGAUUUUAUCCUGUAAAGACUCACUGAAGAAUUUUAAGCAAAGGAGUGACACAAUCAGAUUGCCAGUUUAAAGAGUUAUCUGGAAUCAGUGUGGAGAAGAGUUUGGAGAAAGGGAAUAAAGAGGCAGGGAAAUCAGAGCUUCUGACAAAAACCUGAGGUAUGCCGGUAGCCGCCCUUUCCUUUACACGAUAGAAUUUUCUGAAUUUAAAAAAAUUACUCUGAUGGUAGUUUCUUUUGCUGUGCAGAAGCUCUUUAGUUUAAUUAGAUCCCAUUUGUCAAUUU
This 4246-nucleotide long non-coding RNA is filed under the name Homo sapiens (human). RNAcentral describes it as "HSALNT0071158". Lineage: Eukaryota; Metazoa; Chordata; Mammalia; Primates; Hominidae. The record is from RNAcentral.